This 479-nucleotide ribosomal RNA is filed under the name Mycobacterium kumamotonense. RNAcentral describes it as "Mycolicibacter kumamotonensis bacterial SSU rRNA". It matches the Rfam family "Bacterial small subunit ribosomal RNA", at positions 28 to 508 of the family's 1533-position model. Lineage: Bacteria; Bacillati; Actinomycetota; Actinomycetes; Mycobacteriales; Mycobacteriaceae. The record is from RNAcentral.
GACGAACGCUGGCGGCGUGCUUAACACAUGCAAGUCGAACGGAAAGGCCCUUUCGGGGGUGCUCGAGUGGCGAACGGGUGAGUAACACGUGGGUGAUCUGCCCUGCACUCUGGGAUAAGCCUGGGAAACUGGGUCUAAUACUGGAUAGGACCAUGGGAUGCAUGUUCUGUGGUGGAAAGCUUUUGCGGUGUGGGAUGGGCCCGCGGCCUAUCAGCUUGUUGGUGGGGUGAUGGCCUACCAAGGCGACGACGGGUAGCCGGCCUGAGAGGGUGUCCGGCCACACUGGGACUGAGAUACGGCCCAGACUCCUACGGGAGGCAGCAGUGGGGAAUAUUGCACAAUGGGCGCAAGCCUGAUGCAGCGACGCCGCGUGGGGGAUGACGGCCUUCGGGUUGUAAACCUCUUUCAGUAUCGGCGAAGCUUGCGGGUUUUCUCGCAGGUGACGGUAGGUACAGAAGAAGCACCGGCCAACUACGUGC